Molecule: unclassified non-coding RNA, 264 nt
Filed under: plant metagenome
Description: partial contains small subunit ribosomal RNA, internal transcribed spacer 1, and 5.8S ribosomal RNA
Source: RNAcentral
UUUCCGUAGGCGAACCUGCGGAAGGAUCAUUAUCGAGUUUUGACUGGGUUGUAGCUGGCCUUCCGAGGCAUGUGCACGCCCUGCUCAUCCACUCUACACCUGUGCACUUACUGUGGGUAUCAGAUCGUGAAGCGUGCUUUUUUUACCGGAGCUUGUGAAGCGUGUCUGUGCCUGCGGUUAUCACAAACACUAUAAAGUAUCAGAACGUGUAUUACGAUGUAACGCAUCUAUAUACAACUUUCAGCAACGGAUCUCUUGGCUCUA